RNAcentral lists this long non-coding RNA (200 nucleotides) under Nicotiana benthamiana. Its description in RNAcentral is "long non-coding RNA (NBEN_LNC026476)". The record is from RNAcentral. Lineage: Eukaryota; Viridiplantae; Streptophyta; Magnoliopsida; Solanales; Solanaceae.
CAAGCUUCAUUUCCGCCACCGCCAACACAACCUCCUCCCAACCUUGACGGAUUUAUGAGAUUUGUUAGAAAUACAACAUAAAUUAUGAUGUAACUUGUACAUUGCCACGUCUUCUUUUAGUUUUUUUUCCUUUUAAUGGCGGUAUUAGUACCUUGUUGUGCUCAUUCCAUUGGGGGAAGGAAGACUAAGAAAGAUAUGCC